Molecule: small RNA, 28 nt
Filed under: Bombyx mori (domestic silkworm)
Lineage: Eukaryota; Metazoa; Arthropoda; Insecta; Lepidoptera; Bombycidae
Description: ovarian small RNA-30125
Source: RNAcentral
UCUUCGCGUCUUCAUCGUCGUCGUCGUC